Molecule: microRNA precursor, 201 nt
Organism: Oryza sativa Japonica Group (Japanese rice)
Lineage: Eukaryota; Viridiplantae; Streptophyta; Magnoliopsida; Poales; Poaceae
Rfam family: MIR812 microRNA precursor family
Source: Rfam
UUUAAGUAUGUAUGUGGAUUUCUAUGUCUAAAGUUUGAUCGUUCGUUUUGUUUUAAACUUUUUGAUUAGUAUUUUUGUUGCUAUUAGAUGAUAAAACAUGAAUAAUAUUUUAUGCGCGACUUUUUUUUAUUUUUUUUAUAAAUUCGUUAAAUAAGAUGUGCGGUCAAACGACAAACACGGAAACCCGCUAAUGUAUUUAAA